Molecule: RNA transcript, 2719 nt
Organism: Sander lucioperca (pikeperch)
Lineage: Eukaryota; Metazoa; Chordata; Actinopteri; Perciformes; Percidae
Gene name: endonuclease domain-containing 1 protein-like
Exons: 3
Source: RefSeq, a predicted model, not a curated record
ACACAUGACUGAAACUAAUGUUGAAAGUGUGCUUCUGCUUUCGCUUUCACCAUGAGGUCGUGUGAAAAAGGAGAACAAGUAAUGCAAGCCUUGCUGCAUUUCACCGAGACUCUGUGUGAAGGCAUGACAAACCUUCGGUUAUUUGACUGCUGGAUUUCAACACCAGCUGUCUGUUGACAAAAUGUUGCGUUUCUACGCCCUGGCUGUGGCCGUCCUGGCCUUCACUGGAUGCUGGUGCAUAUGUGCAGCUGAUGUCGGGGAUUUUGCUCCAUGCCUGCAGUUCUUCUACAAGUCUUGGCCUCCUAAAGGUCUGGCGGGGACCCCGAUCUGCCAACGUUAUUACAACCAGUACCGCUUCGCCACACUGUACAGUCGACCGCGCCGCUCUCCGUGGUUCUCGGCCUAUGUGUACUCGGCACCAGCAGGAAAGAGACCCACCGCCUGUUGGAAGUUUGAGCCCCAGCUAGCCUACCCAGGAGCCGAGGGCAACAUGAUCCCCUUCCCUCCGGGCCCUGUGGACCAGAACGUGGUGGACAGCCAGGCGGUGGAGCUGGACUACAUCAACUCCACCUACUCCCGUGGCCACAUGAACCCCAGCCUCCACCACCAGAGCCACGAGGACCGCUCCGCCACCUUCACCCUCACUAACGUGGUUCCUCAGAAGGCAGGCUCUAACGACGGGCCCUGGGAAGUCCUGGAGUGGACCAUCAACAAAACCUUAGAGGCCUACUGUCUCGGAGAGGCUUACGUAGUGACCGGCGUCAUCCCUUACCGGAUCGACGAGCGCUGGCUCAAAGAUCAUCGCGUGGCUGUGCCUGAGUACAUUUGGUCCGCCUACUGCUGCCCAAACUACAACAACAGUCUUCCAGAAGAACUGAAGGAUGCUUUCCCCACAUAUGCUGCUAUCGGCCGCAACGACCGCAACAGCAGCGAGGAGAUUGUGCCUGUUAGCCAAACGGCUAAGAAACAGUUCAAAGGAUAUGAUGUGAGACAAAUGCCAUUGGAGACACUCGAGAUGUAUCUGAAGGACCGGUUCAACACAGUUGUCAGUGUUUUCUACGAGCAGUGCUCUGGAUCCGACUGAUCCUACAGACACAAGUACACAUGGAUAACAUCUAUACAAUAAUUAGAUCUUUGAAGUGUUAAUGCAUAUUUCAUUUAAUUAAGCCUAAAUCUAGACCUUUUCACAGUUGUAAUCAUAACCAUACUAAAUUGCCCAAAGUUGAUUUCCUGUCCAGUGUAUGUGAAUGACAUCAACUUACAGGAAGUUAACAAGAGGCCAGGCUGUUGCCUAGCAAUGGAAUUCCAUUGAAAAGGUCUAUAAAAAUGUUAUAAAUGACAAUUACAAAACUGAUUUAUAGAAUCUGCCAUCACUAGGAUUAAAGUGUGGUUAGGUUAGGGAAAUAUAGUGAUCAUGGUUAAAAGAAACCAAACUGACUUUCAAUGUGAGCAUCCAAACUAACAAAAUGACUUUUCUUAGAUCUCAUGGUUGCCAUUGGCCCCCAGUGGGCCUCUUUAGCAAGUUUUGUCUUUAAGCUUUUUUAAUGUGUAAUUUAUUUAUCAUCUGCUCUAGCUUUUCCAACGUUUUAGACACAUAUAUAUCAUAUUUGCGUCUAAAACGUUGGAAAAGCUAGAUACAAUAGAUAGAUGAUAGACCAAUAAUGGUACAUGAUGUGAAAUUGCAAAAAACAGUAUAUUAAUAUAAUAACAUUUUCUUUAACGGAGGACCCCGAAACACCCCGCAAAACACAUGCACCUAAGUCUUCCACAAACCUAGGGAAAACACUGAUUGUACAGUGUAUAUAUAUUUGUAUUCUGAGUAUAUACAGAGUGUAAUUCCUGCACUGCAGGUUUGCAGCCAUGCAUGCACCAAAUACAUUUGACCACUAGGUGGUGACUUUGUGCAAUACAUGUAGAUGAGAAGCAGCUUCUGCUGACUGUAUACAGCAACUGGAGGGAUUUUAAAAGUUUAAUCUUUACUGAUUUUGUUGGUAAUACAGAGCAACACCGACCUAAUUGUAUUGGAAAUCAAUUUGUUUCUUUAUCUAAUUAUUAACUACAUAAUGUCAGUGAUCUUGUGUUUUUAUAUUUAAAAUAUUUGAAACCACACUUUAAUCAAUGUUGUAACCUUCACAAAGCGCUGCUGCUGGUUGAGGCUUUCUGAACAUGUAUAAAAUAAAUAAAACCCCAGGGACGACUCGUUUAGACAAACAGUGACUCGUUCCACCGGUUGGCCUCAACUGUUCUGGAGCUUUGCCAAGACUUGUUUUUGUAAUGAUCACUAAGACACAAGUUUUCUCAUACCAGACUGGGUUUAUUGCAUGAUGAUGGAUGGUACAGUAGCACAAGUGCACAAAAAGCUAAACACUACACACUUGUGUGUCAAACUGGAUUAUUUAGUCAAAAAAUGAAUCCCUGGCUUAGUAUGAUUGUUGUUGCAUCAUUGGGGUGAAGAGUUUGUCCCACACCUCUAACUUCAACAUGGCCUUGCCCAUCGGGGACAUGGUCGCCUUGAUGUCCAAGGUCUUGCCCUCAAAUGUUAGACCCGAGCCCCGGGCCUCCUGCCUCACAAAGCCUGUCUGCUCUUUGUUGUAAUACAUCUCUUUGUACAGAGCUUCGUUGCACUCUUUGUCGACGUUGUAGAUUCCCAAGGCCAUCCAGUUCUUGUACAUGUUGUAGUCGUAGGGCACGGAGAACAUUAUGGCUAUUUUCUCUUUGG